RNAcentral lists this ribosomal RNA (1972 nucleotides) under Klebsiella pneumoniae. RNAcentral describes it as "partial 23S ribosomal RNA". It matches the Rfam family "Bacterial large subunit ribosomal RNA", at positions 890 to 2839 of the family's 2925-position model. The record is from RNAcentral. Lineage: Bacteria; Pseudomonadati; Pseudomonadota; Gammaproteobacteria; Enterobacterales; Enterobacteriaceae.
UCAUCUUCGGGGGUAGAGCACUGUUUCGGCUAGGGGGUCAUCCCGACUUACCAACCCGAUGCAAACUACGAAUACCGAAGAAUGUUAUCACGGGAGACACACGGCGGGUGCUAACGUCCGUCGUGAAGAGGGAAACAACCCAGACCGCCAGCUAAGGUCCCAAAGUCAUGGUUAAGUGGGAAACGAUGUGGGAAGGCACAGACAGCCAGGAUGUUGGCUUAGAAGCAGCCAUCAUUUAAAGAAAGCGUAAUAGCUCACUGGUCGAGUCGGCCUGCGCGGAAGAUGUAACGGGGCUAAACCAUGCACCGAAGCUGCGGCAGCGACACUAUGUGUUGUUGGGUAGGGGAGCGUUCUGUAAGCCUGCGAAGGUGUGCUGUGAGGCAUGCUGGAGGUAUCAGAAGUGCGAAUGCUGACAUAAGUAACGAUAAAGCGGGUGAAAAGCCCGCUCGCCGGAAGACCAAGGGUUCCUGUCCAACGUUAAUCGGGGCAGGGUGAGUCGACCCCUAAGGCGAGGCCGAAAGGCGUAGUCGAUGGGAAACAGGUUAAUAUUCCUGUACUUGGUGUUACUGCGAAGGGGGGACGGAGAAGGCUAUGUUAGCCGGGCGACGGUUGUCCCGGUUUAAGCAUGUAGGCUGGUUAUCCAGGCAAAUCCGGAUAAUCAAGGCUGAGGUGUGAUGACGAGGCACUACGGUGCUGAAGUAACAAAUGCCCUGCUUCCAGGAAAAGCCUCUAAGCAUCAGGUAACAUCAAAUCGUACCCCAAACCGACACAGGUGGUCAGGUAGAGAAUACCAAGGCGCUUGAGAGAACUCGGGUGAAGGAACUAGGCAAAAUGGUGCCGUAACUUCGGGAGAAGGCACGCUGGUGUGUAGGUGAAGUCCCUGCGGAUGGAGCUGAGACCAGUCGAAGAUACCAGCUGGCUGCAACUGUUUAUUAAAAACACAGCACUGUGCAAACACGAAAGUGGACGUAUACGGUGUGACGCCUGCCCGGUGCCGGAAGGUUAAUUGAUGGGGUUAUCCGUAAGGAGAAGCUCUUGAUCGAAGCCCCGGUAAACGGCGGCCGUAACUAUAACGGUCCUAAGGUAGCGAAAUUCCUUGUCGGGUAAGUUCCGACCUGCACGAAUGGCGUAAUGAUGGCCAGGCUGUCUCCACCCGAGACUCAGUGAAAUUGAACUCGCUGUGAAGAUGCAGUGUACCCGCGGCAAGACGGAAAGACCCCGUGAACCUUUACUAUAGCUUGACACUGAACAUUGAGCCUUGAUGUGUAGGAUAGGUGGGAGGCUUUGAAGCGUGGACGCCAGUCUGCGUGGAGCCAACCUUGAAAUACCACCCUUUAAUGUUUGAUGUUCUAACGUUGGCCCCUUACCGGGGUUGCGGACAGUGUCUGGUGGGUAGUUUGACUGGGGCGGUCUCCUCCCAAAGCGUAACGGAGGAGCACGAAGGUUAGCUAAUCCUGGUCGGACAUCAGGAGGUUAGUGCAAUGGCAUAAGCUAGCUUGACUGCGAGCGUGACGGCGCGAGCAGGUGCGAAAGCAGGUCAUAGUGAUCCGGUGGUUCUGAAUGGAAGGGCCAUCGCUCAACGGAUAAAAGGUACUCCGGGGAUAACAGGCUGAUACCGCCCAAGAGUUCAUAUCGACGGCGGUGUUUGGCACCUCGAUGUCGGCUCAUCACAUCCUGGGGCUGAAGUAGGUCCCAAGGGUAUGGCUGUUCGCCAUUUAAAGUGGUACGCGAGCUGGGUUUAGAACGUCGUGAGACAGUUCGGUCCCUAUCUGCCGUGGGCGCUGGAGAAUUGAGGGGGGCUGCUCCUAGUACGAGAGGACCGGAGUGGACGCAUCACUGGUGUUCGGGUUGUCAUGCCAAUGGCACUGCCCGGUAGCUAAAUGCGGAAGAGAUAAGUGCUGAAAGCAUCUAAGCACGAAACUUGCCCCGAGAUGAGUUCUCCCUGAGACUUUAAGUCUCCUGAAGGAACGUU